UUACCUAGAAUUCCUCGGCCAGAAGACUCAUCGUUUUGUCUUGUGUUUAGUUAAUUUUCUCUUACAAUUGCGCAAACUCAGGCCAUAUAACAAUCAUAAAUAGCCCCGUAGAGCCAACAAGCAAGAAUUCGUUCUGGAAGGAAAAUCUAAUUUAAAGUGCAGUUAACCUGCUUAUGUGUGACGUAUUAAAGGUUCAUUGAUAGGAUUGAUAAUUUUGCUAGUCAGACGCCAUCUAUUUGACAUAAAAUUAUGCGCUACUUACUAUUGGGACUACUACUUUUGGCGGAUGCCUUGUUGGCAAUUCCUUACUUGACCGAUGAAGACACGUUGGAGGACUACAGUAAUAACUUAGCUCGGUUUCUUUUCUACACCAGAAAACGUGGCUGUGUUCGUAGAGGGGGAAGCUGUGACCACAGACCUAACGAGUGUUGCUACAACUCAUCGUGCCGUUGCAAUCUGUGGGGGACAAACUGUCGGUGCUCCAGGAUGGGUCUUUUCCAGAGAUGGGG
Molecule: long non-coding RNA, 509 nt
Organism: Limulus polyphemus (Atlantic horseshoe crab)
Lineage: Eukaryota; Metazoa; Arthropoda; Merostomata; Xiphosura; Limulidae
Exons: 4
Source: RefSeq, a predicted model, not a curated record